Molecule: ribosomal RNA, 624 nt
Filed under: uncultured bacterium
Lineage: Bacteria
Description: bacterial SSU rRNA
Rfam family: Bacterial small subunit ribosomal RNA
Source: RNAcentral
UGCGGGGGAUAACAGGAGGAAACUCCUGCUAAUACCGCAUAGCCAUGAGCACCGCAUGGAGCUCAUGCCAAAUAUCCUUUCGGGGACAGCGCAGGGAUGGACCUAUGGCGCAUUAGCUAGUUGGCGGGGCAACGGCCCACCAAGGCAACGAUGCGUAGCCGGCCUGAGAGGGCGGACGGCCACAUUGGGACUGAGACACGGCCCAGACUCCUACGGGAGGCAGCAGUAGGGAAUUUUCGGCAAUGGGGGAAACCCUGACCGAGCAACGCCGCGUGAGCGAAGAAGGCCUUCGGGUCGUAAAGCUCUGUUGUAAAGGAAGAACGGCGCAUACAGGAAAUGGUAUGCGAGUGACGGUACUUUACCAGAAAGCCACGGCUAAGUACGUGCCAGCAGCCGCGGUAAUACGUAUGGUGCAAGCGUUAUCCGGAUUUACUGGGUGUAAAGGGAGCGCAGGCGGAAGGCUAAGUCUGAUGUGAAAGCCCGGGGCUCAACCCCGGUACUGCAUUGGAAACUGGUCAUCUAGAGUGUCGGAGGGGUAAGUGGAAUUCCUAGUGUAGCGGUGAAAUGCGUAGAUAUUAGGAGGAACACCAGUGGCGAAGGCGGCUUACAGGACGAUAACUGACG